AUACGGAGGAUGCAAGCGUUAUCCGGAUUUAUUGGGUUUAAAGGGUUCGUAGGCGGGAAAUUAAGUCAGCGGUGAAAGCCUGCAGCUCAACUGUAGAAUUGCCAUUGAUACUGAUUUUCUUGAAUAUAUAUGAAGUGGGCGGAAUGCGUCAUGUAGCGGUGAAAUGCACAGAUAUGACGCAGAACAUCGAUAGCGAAGGCAGCUCACUAAUAUAUUAUUGACGCUCAGGAACGAAAGCAUGGGGAGCGAACAGGAUUAGAAACCCUAGUAGUCC
This 274-nucleotide ribosomal RNA is filed under the name uncultured bacterium. RNAcentral describes it as "partial 16S ribosomal RNA". It matches the Rfam family "Bacterial small subunit ribosomal RNA", at positions 523 to 796 of the family's 1533-position model. The record is from RNAcentral.